This 613-nucleotide long non-coding RNA is filed under the name Homo sapiens (human). RNAcentral's name for it is "HSALNT0313510". Lineage: Eukaryota; Metazoa; Chordata; Mammalia; Primates; Hominidae. The record is from RNAcentral.
AAGGUACUGAAGUAGAGUUCUGGCUGUUCCUUACGGACAUCUCUGGUGAAUAAUCUGAGAAGGCCUCACUUAUAAUUUGGCUUGAAGAAAACACGAGAGCAAGUCAUGCAAUGUUCAAGUAAGAGUGCAGCAGUCAGAAGAAAAAGCUAUGCAAGGGCCCUAAGGUUGAAAGUGUUCUUAGUGUCUUUGAGAAACAUCAAGGAAUGUGCAAAAGGCAGAAUGAUAGAAGAUGAGAUCAGAGAGGGGAAGUAAAUUCAACAACAGAAAUUGAGGAUGAGGAACAUGGUGUUGCAGUUCAAACCAGUUCCAGCCAAAAUGGACUCUAGUCACAAACAAAUAGUAAUAACAAUCCAAACUUGUGGCUGAAUAGAGUUCUGAAGUUUUGAGAAAGAGAAAUUUUAGAGACACAGACAAAGGGAAAUAAGGCCAUGUGGUGGAGGCAGAGAUUGGAGUUAUGCAGCCACAAGCCAAAGAAGGCCAAGAAUUGCCAACAACUACCGGAAGCUAGAAGUGACAAGGAAGCAUUCUUCCCUAGAGCCCUUGGAGAGAUCGUGGCCCUGCAACAUCUUAAAGUUAGGACUUCCAGCUUCCAGAAAUGUGAGAGAAUAAAUUU